This 301-nucleotide ribosomal RNA is filed under the name uncultured bacterium. Its description in RNAcentral is "partial 16S ribosomal RNA". It matches the Rfam family "Bacterial small subunit ribosomal RNA", at positions 509 to 807 of the family's 1533-position model. The record is from RNAcentral.
CAGUCGCCGCGGUAAUACGAAGGGUGCAAGCGUUACUCGGAAUUACUGGGCGUAAAGCGUGCGUAGGUGGUGGUUUAAGUCCGUUGUGAAAGCCCUGGGCUCAACCUGGGAAUUGCAGUGGAUACUGGGUCACUAGAGUGUGGUAGAGGAUAGUGGAAUUUCCGGUGUAGCAGUGAAAUGCGUAGAGAUCGGAAGGAACAUCUGUGGCGAAGGCGACUAUCUGGGCCAACACUGACACUGAGGCACGAAGGCGUGGGGAGCAAACAGGAUUAGAUACCCCUGUAGUCCCUGUCUCUUAUAC